RNAcentral lists this ribosomal RNA (515 nucleotides) under uncultured bacterium. RNAcentral's name for it is "bacterial SSU rRNA". It matches the Rfam family "Bacterial small subunit ribosomal RNA", at positions 28 to 528 of the family's 1533-position model. The record is from RNAcentral.
GAUGAACGCUAGCGGGAGGCUUAACACAUGCAAGUCGAGGGGCAGCAUAGAUCAACCGUAAGGCAGAUCUGAUGGCGACCGGCAAACGGGUGAGUAACGCGUAUGCAACCUACCCUGUACAGGGGGAUAACCCGGAGAAAUUCGGACUAAUAUCCCGUAAUAAUAUCCGGAGGCAUCUUUGGAUAUUUAAAGUUCCGACGGUACGGGAUGGGCAUGCGUAACAUUAACUGGUUGGUAAGGUAACGGCUUACCAAGGCUAUGAUGUUUAGGGGUCCUGAGAGGGUGGUCCCCCACACUGGUACUGAGACACGGACCAGACUCCUACGGGAGGCAGCAGUGAGGAAUAUUGGUCAAUGGGCGCAAGCCUGAACCAGCCAUCCCGCGUGCAGGAAGACGGCCCUAUGGGUUGUAAACUGCUUUUCCAGGGAGAGAAACUUACGCACGUGUUGCGUGACUGACGGUACCCUGGGAAUAAGCAUCGGCUAACUCCGUGCCAGCAGCCGCGGUAAAAGUGU